Molecule: ribosomal RNA, 305 nt
Filed under: uncultured bacterium
Lineage: Bacteria
Description: bacterial SSU rRNA
Rfam family: Bacterial small subunit ribosomal RNA
Source: RNAcentral
GUGCCUACGGGAGCAGCAGUGGGGAAUAUUGCACAAUGGGGGAAACCCUGAUGCAGCAACGCCGCGUGAGCGAUGAAGUAUUUCGGUAUGUAAAGCUCUAUCAGCAGGGAAGAAAAUGACGGUACCUGACUAAGAAGCCCCGGCUAACUACGUGCCAGCAGCCGCGGUAAUACGUAGGGGGCAAGCGUUAUCCGGAUUUACUGGGUGUAAAGGGAGCGUAGAGGGCCAUUCAAGCCAGAUGUGAAAGCCCGGGGCUCAACCCCGGGACUGCAUUUGGAACUGUGCGGCUAGAGGGUCGGAGAGGG